This 746-nucleotide long non-coding RNA is filed under the name Marmota monax (woodchuck). Lineage: Eukaryota; Metazoa; Chordata; Mammalia; Rodentia; Sciuridae. The record is from RNAcentral.
GGAGGUCAGAGGGCACUCAGAAUCUGCGCCGCCGCACUGGUCCCCGACGCUUUCUGCGCCAUUUUUAAUAAGGUCCACGCCUUAAGUUCGGUGGAAGGAAAGUCGGCCUGUGAGACACCUCAGCUCCCAGCCCUCCCCGCACAGGUCUUGAGGGAUGCGACUUGCCGGAGAAACGUUUGUAUUGUUGUGGCAGCUGCGCUGCGAGGGCCUAGGAGUUUAAUAAUUGUCUGUUAAAUGGAUGAGUGAAUUAAUUUCUGCUACGAUACUUUCACACUCGUCUCCUGGCUCCUCCCAGCAGCACUUGAGUCAGGUACGGAUCAUUCCCAUUUUGCAGUGGAGAAACCUAGAGGCUAAAGCCGGCCUGUGAAAGAUUGCUGAGCAUCAUCCAGCCAGAGAUCCUGGGCUCGUGGUCUGCUUGAGCUAAAAGACACCAAGGCAUCGACUGUAUCUUUAUUCGUAAUGCAUGGUUUACUGGAUAUCCAAUCCAGUCUAGUGUGCUUAGGACUGCUACCCAGACCCAGCUCCUUCUCCUGGAGUGACGUGGAAGGUGGACAGUUAAAUAUAUAAUUACAACCAUUGUGAUAAAAAUGAGAUGAUUGGGGCACGUGCUUGCUCAGUGUUUCAAAAAAGUGGUAUGUGCAAGAAAGGAUUUUGAGUGGCACACAAAGGAACAUUAAAAUUUUUUAAUUUAAGUAGGAUUUCCCCCCUCCUAUUUCUUGGGAAUAUAUAAUACGUAUACAAGGUAC